RNAcentral lists this ribosomal RNA (253 nucleotides) under uncultured bacterium. Its description in RNAcentral is "partial 16S ribosomal RNA". It matches the Rfam family "Bacterial small subunit ribosomal RNA", at positions 524 to 776 of the family's 1533-position model. The record is from RNAcentral.
UACGAAGGGGGCUAGCGUUGCUCGGAAUCACUGGGCGUAAAGGGCGCGUAGGCGGCCAUUCAAGUCGGAGGUGAAAGCCCAGGGCUCAACCCUGGAAUUGCCUUCGAUACUGUCUGGCUAGAGACCGGAAGAGGUAAGUGGAACUGCGAGUGUAGAGGUGAAAUUCGUAGAUAUUCGGAAGAACACCAGUGGCGAAGGCGGCUCACUGGCCCGGUACUGACGCUGAGGUGCGAAAGCGUGGGGAGCAAACAGG